CAAUACAUCGGAACGUGUCCUAUCGUGGGGGAUAACUGAUCGAAAGAUCAGCUAAUACCGCAUAAGACCUGAGGGUGAAAGUGGGGGAUCGCAAGACCUCACGCGAUUGGAGCGGCCGAUGCCCGAUUAGCUAGUUGGUGAGGUAAAGGCUCACCAAGGCGACGAUCGGUAGCUGGUCUGAGAGGACGACCAGCCACACUGGGACUGAGACACGGCCCAG
Molecule: ribosomal RNA, 220 nt
Filed under: uncultured bacterium
Lineage: Bacteria
Description: partial 16S ribosomal RNA
Rfam family: Bacterial small subunit ribosomal RNA
Source: RNAcentral